This 488-nucleotide ribosomal RNA is filed under the name uncultured bacterium. Its description in RNAcentral is "bacterial SSU rRNA". It matches the Rfam family "Bacterial small subunit ribosomal RNA", at positions 501 to 987 of the family's 1533-position model. The record is from RNAcentral.
CUACGUGCCAGCAGCCGCGGUAAUACGUAGGUGGCAAGCGUUGUCCGGAAUUAUUGGGCGUAAAGGGCGCGCAGGCGGCUUCUUAAGUCUGUCUUAAAAGUGCGGGGCUUAACCCCGUGAUGGGAUGGAAACUGGGAAGCUCAGAGUAUCGGAGAGGAAAGCGGAAUUCCUAGUGUAGCGGUGAAAUGCGUAGAUAUUAGGAAGAACACCAGUGGCGAAGGCGACUUUCUGGACGAAAACUGACGCUGAGGCGCGAAAGCCAGGGGAGCGAACGGGAUUAGAUACCCCGGUAGUCCUGGCCGUAAACGAUGGGUACUAGGUGUAGGAGGUAUCGACCCCUUCUGUGCCGGAGUUAACGCAAUAAGUACCCCGCCUGGGGAGUACGACCGCAAGGUUGAAACUCAAAGGAAUUGACGGGGGCCCGCACAAGCGGUGGAGUAUGUGGUUUAAUUCGACGCAACGCGAAGAACCUUACCAGGUCUUGACAU